Long non-coding RNA from Brassica rapa (field mustard), 6641 nucleotides. RefSeq lists it as uncharacterized. The record is from RefSeq and is a predicted model, not a curated record. NCBI's taxonomy places the organism in Eukaryota, Viridiplantae, Streptophyta, Magnoliopsida, Brassicales, Brassicaceae.
ACAAAAUAUAUUUUUGGCUCUUCAAUUACUUAUUAUGGAAAAACAUUAAAAUUUAUGGGGCAAAGAAUCAAACCCCAAACCCUUUGUAGGAAAGAAUUAAACAUAGACCAGUAGAACUAAUUAGAUUUUGUUAAAAAAAUUGGCCCUUAAAAUACUUAUACACAUCAGGCUCCCAAGCAUGUGCUUGAUCAGCCUAUAGUCAGGCACGGCCCUGUGUGUAUAUAUAUACAUGAGCUAGUUUGUUGUUUUCAUGGCUCCACUUAUUUUCCUCUAUUUGUUUAGUUUCUUAAAAUUAAAUUACUACAAACUCCUAGCUUCUCCACUAUGCAUAUAUUAAGAAACCUACAUGGUAAAAGAAAAGGAGGAAGAAGAGAGUUUCAUAAGUUUUUUUUUGUUUGGUGUAAAGAGUUUCAUAAGUUGUUAUUUCCGCUUAAAUUUGUUUUGCUUUUGCCAACUUGCGUAUCUCCACUUAAAAACAAUCCCACUGGUUCUUUCUUAUUACUGACCUAAUGGAAGCAUUUAGUGUUUUUCAAGUUAUUUCAAUCAGUGAUCAUAUAAAACCCACGUUGCACAUCAUGCUCAGAAAUAUUCAACCACGUGGAGAAGAUGAUGAGUCACGAGUAGGUCCAGUUUUGGCCCACUUUAAAACUCCUCCGCCAACUACCUAACCACAUCGAAACAAGUUUUUUUUUAAUUUUUAAAAUUAAUUUUAUUAAGUUGCUCAGAAAAAUUAAUUUUACUAUUAUGAUUAUCUUUUUAUAGUUUCUGUUUUGUUUGUUUGCUCUUUUAGGUAGUUCCAAGUUCUAUAUUCAUCACCUUGAAAGCUUGCAUGAUAAUAUGCUUUUGAAUCUCUAGACGUAACAGUUUUUUCUUUCUUUUUACAAAAAAGUGUUACCAAAAAGAAUAGUUGGAAGUUUAUUGCAUAUUUUUCUAUUUUAUUAAGAUAUAAGUGGAAGCAGUGGCGGAGGCAGCAUAUAACCAUGUGGGUCAAUUGACCCAUGUGAAUUUUGAAGAUUUUUUGUUUUGCAUGUAUGUCUUGUGGAAACAUACGAUGAGUUUAGCUUAAUGACUCUUGCAAAAUAUAUGUAUCAUCAAUUUGACCCUCUUAAAACAAAAUUCUCCCUCUGCCACUGAGUGGAAGUAUUAAGAAAUAGGAAUGUCACUUCCAGAUGACAAAAAAAAAAAAAAAAAAGAAUGUCACUUCCAUGUUAUACACUAAAUUAGUUCGGAGACUUUCGUUGGAAAAUUAAAUUUUUAUCUGGCACUCAUUCCUCAAUGCAAUGUCACUAAUAUAAAAUAAUGUCACUAAUACAAAAUAAUAAAAUACGCAUAUAUAUAUAUAUAUAUAAUCGGGAUUAAAUAUAUCAUUACGUACCUAGGUUAUAGAAACUCAUAGAAUUUCUACAACUUUGUGACACAAAAUAUUUCUUGGAAGUACAAGUAUAUAUGCAUGCAUGAAUGUAAUCCACUAACUUCAAAUUAUAGGAAUGUAAAAAAUAAUAAUGGAGGAAAUGACAUACGUACAUAUGUGCAUGCAUGAAUCUGUAUUCACAUUAGUUACUGAAAUAUUUACUAUAUAUAUGAACAACAUAUAUCAUAGUUUAAAUUUUGGAUGUUGACAAAAAAAAAAUUUGGAUAGAAAAGCAUCUUGAUACGAGUUGUUACAGUUUUAUCAAUUCUGAUAUAUGUACAACAAUUAAACACUACUGGAUAUAUUUGUAUUAAUUACUACUGUAGCAACUAAACAAUUUUGAAUGGAUGUCAUUCAACGUCGAAAUAUGAGAUAAAAAUAAAUAUUGAAGAAAAAGACAGCUUCUCAAACAUUGAAAUCAAACUACAACAUAAUAUAAAAAGGAAAAUGUGUUUCAAGCAAAACUUAAUUUACUAAAGUUACUAAUGAAUUUCUUUACUAAAAAAAUGUGAUGAACUUAUUCUUACAAACUUUAUAAUAUAUACCUAGAUUUGCUUGAAACAACUAUCUAAUUUAUUUCCGUUUUAUGUCUUUUUUGCUUAAAUAUUUUGUUUUAUGUGGUUGCACUAAAAAUAAAUAGUAUGGAAUAUGACAUAAAUUACAAAUACUGAAAACAUGUAUAAAUACAUACAUAGACAUAGCAUAAUUUACCCUAAAAAUCGAUAGCAUCCAAUUAUAGAUGAAUCGAAAUUAGAAUUCCCCCAAAUAAUAUCUUACAAAGGUUCAAAAAGUAAUAUCUUAGCUUUACACGAUUUGGCUGUAUUAUUAGGUCUAUAUAUCUGUAUAUAAUAAAUAUGUCGUAAUGCAAAUUAUAUCAUUCCGUUAUAUAUAAUUUCUCAAAACUGUUAAUCAAUAUGCGUAGUAUAUGUAUUAUUUUCAUCUAUUAUAAAAUUAUAUGAUUAUUAGCAUCUUAUUGUUUGGAAGCUAGCGAAGUUCGAGAAUGUGGAAUCAAGUGGAAGUAGUUCCCAAUAAAAGUAGAAGUAUAUUGUAAGACUAUAAAAUAAAAAGUAAAACUCGGAUUAGUGGAGAAUUUAACUAAAUAUUUACACAUUUCAUAGUUACAUAAUAACAAUUUUCAUGUAAUCAAAUAUAUAUAUAUAUAUAUACUAAAUAUACGGUUUCACGUUAAUUACUAAUAAUAAGAUCUUCAAAGAAAACAACAAAAAGCUUUGUCAAGCGUCUUAGUAGCAAUGUCUCGGCUGUCUUAGUAGCAGAAGCUCUUGCGGUUAAAGCUGGUCUGAAGGUAGUUCGGUCUUUGGGUUUGCGCAAACUGGUCUUAUGGUCAGAUUCCAGGUCUCUAAUACUGGCCAUCAACGUCAAGGAAAACAUUGUUGAAGUCCAAGGAGUUCUCUUUGAUAUUUCUUAACUAUGUACUUCCUUUUUAUCCAUUUCUUUCUUGCGUACUCCUAAAGUUAACAAUGUAGAAACAGAUGCGCUUGCGAAAAGAGCACUGCUAGAACUACCUCACUCUGUUUGAGUGUUUGAUUUAAUAUUAAUGAAGGUUUGUUCAAAAAAAAAAAUUUUAAAUACGUUAGUUUCAUUUAUUCUAGAUAAUUUACAACCAAGACUUGUUUUAAGCAAAUUUUAUCUAGAACAUAUAUAUAAUUAUGCAUCAUAUAUAUACUGCUAAUUGUGAACGUCAUUUUAUCCACCAAAAUUCGAGGUUGGUGAUACGUCAGCCAUAUAUAUGUAUAUAUAUUGCUGCAUAAUUUUUCUUUAUCAUAUAAUGUCUUUGUAUACAUCAAAUUAUUGUUUCUAAGUUUUCGGUUAGGUUCAGUGAUCAUUCUCUAUCGGGGGACCCUCAUAGAUACACCCCAAAAGGCUUUGGUCUUGAUAUUUGUGAAAAUUAUUCACCUUCAUUUUUCUCUUUUAUAUACUAAACCCUAUAUAAUAGUACAACUGUGUAAUCAUGGUGGAUUUUCUUUAACAAAAAUAUUCAUAAUGAAUUUUCUCAAAAUAUGCAACAAGGAGAUAUAUAUUCAUACAUUGUAUAUAUAGUAUAAUAAAUAACAUUUCCACAUGGCUACCCAAAAGUUGCUCACAGUGUGAGUAUAAAAUACAUUCUGGUAUUAUAUUUUGAUUAUUAGGAAUCUCAUUUUGAGGAAUGAUGAUAAGGAAAUAUAAUCAUUGCUGAAAAAUAUAUAAUGUUUUUCUUAUGUGAAGCUAUUAUUAACUCUUUGGUUUCAAUAUAUAACGCAUUCAUCAUGAUUUUGUUGUACAUGCAUAAUAUAUUAUAUGCGACACUCUGUUGAUUUUCCAUAUAACCGAGCUCAGGAGACCUUCGAUUACUUUAUCAGCUGAUAUUUUAGAAUUACAAACUGUCAAAUACAAUCUUGAAUUAUUUUUGAUAGUUAUGUGAAACAAAGUUGGAGGCGGAUUUAAUUAAUAAUGCUGGAGUCGGAUUUAAUUAAUAAUGUAGGAAGUUUAGGGUAAUGCAUGAUUGCAUGUGACGUGAUCGAUCUAUCAUAAAUUUUGCCGUGAGCCUGUAACCACUGCUCGGAUUCCUCCGCUACAAAGUCAAACUUGUUUAUACAUGUAUGAUGUAUACUUGUAAGUUGUAAUUACAAAUCGAUACAUCUACACACACAUAUAUAUAUACACACAUGUAUAAGAAACAAGUUCACAUAAUUCAUAAUCUAACAUGGCAAAAUAUUUGAAUAAAGGUGCUUAUUUUGACUAAUUUUAAAUUAAUUGUUUUGGUUUCUUAAUGAAUUCGUUAGAAUAACGUUGAAUUGUAAUAUCUGCUAGCUAAUUGAUGAUGUUUUGUCAACUGUUAAUUAAUUAAUAAGUAUUCCACCAAGAAAUAAACAAGAGCAUAAUAGUUUAUUACAAGAUUUCUUUGUGUUCUUCUUUAUUCCAAGGGAUUAUAGGAGAAGCAAACACAUGAGACCACAUGAAAUUCCGAUUUGAAAGAGUCACGUGAAUUAUUAUAAACACUAUAUACAUGUUUGACUAAUGACCCUUAAGUAUGGUUAGUGUUGUAGCUCGUUACCGGUCGGUCGAAAUUAGGAUUAUUAAACUGGAUGGUCAGUCAAAGUAGAUAGUCGCAAGAUCAUAAUAAACAAAGUAUCACACACAAUGUUCUUUGACUAAAUAAUUUUAACAUAACAUAACUAGUGUUACAACAUUAAAUUAAGGUUCUAGUAGUAAGGAUAUAAAGCUCCAUAAUUUUUUUUUUUGAUAACUUUGGUAUCUGGGCAGUCACAUUCCCAACUAUCCCUCUAAAAGGGGUCCAGCGCCCCAACGGAAGAGAUGUUAAAUCCGUUGUGGUCAAGACUCGAACUCGGGUGGCGGGCAGUACAGCUGUACCUCCUUUACCACCAAGCUACGAGCGCUUGGUUAAAGCUCCAUAAUUUAAACGGUAUGAUCAGAUUAACCAUAUGAUAUGCCUAUAAUACAACACUGCAUUACGACAAAUUCUAGUAUAACAUUAACUAGAUCUCGACCCGCGCAACCGCGCGGGUGUUUGUUUCCCUUUUAAUUGAUAUAAGAUAUUUGACUUAAAAUUUUAAAUUGGUAUAUAUUAUAAUAUAUAUAAUGUGUGUCUAUUAAUUUUUAAAAUAUAAUAAUUUAACCAUAUAUCUUUCUAUUGAAUAGGUUAUUUUAAACUUUCACAUACGUCAGUUUUAUUAUGUUUUUUGGAUUGUUAUUUCAUUAUUUAACUCUUAAUUUUAUAUAAAGAUUGGUAAAUAUUGUUUUAUUGUUACCUCGAAAGAUAUUGUAAUAUUUUACAAAUUUAAAAAGUUUUAUAAUUUAAUUUUUACAUUCAUAUAUUAUGGGGUAUACUUGUUAUCCAUCAAAUAGAUUGUUUCAAAAUUCACAUGUGUUUGUUUGUUUGUUAUAUUAUAUUUUGUUUGAUGGAUUAGUAUUUCAUUAUUGAAUAAAAAAUAGAAAUAGAAUUUGGAAAAUAUUAAAAUAUUAUUAUCUCCAAAUAUAAUCAAACUUUUCACAAAAUAAGAAACUUAGCAAAAAUUAAACUUUAAGCUUCAUGUAUAGAUUUUAUAAAGAAUAUAAUUAUUCAUUUAAUUAUAUUUUUUUUAAUGAAUUAUCUGAUUUUAAAAGUUAAGAUUGUAAAGAGUUAAAUAUUAUACAUAUGGGUCAAGUAGUCUUUAAAAUAUAAAUCUAAUGGGUCAAGUAUUCUUUAAAUUCAAUUAUUCAAAGUCCAAAGUGAGAUUAAUGUUUUGUAAGCCCAAAAUGAUCGUUAACAGAUUUUUCUCCGGGAAAAAAACGUGUCUGUCUACCUAACCAUUUUCUUUGGUUUAUGUCUUCUCUUUAACCUAGACACGAUCCUAACUACGAUCCUCGAGCUAUUUGAUCGACUAAAUCCGUCUCUCAGACACCAUCCUCUCUUGACUCCCGACCAAGAUCAAACGGAGAUCGGUACUGUUUCGAAGGAGAUAUGAAAAUCUCAGCGGAAGAAUAUAUGGAGCUCUGAUGGAGCUCUACCCUAAUAUAAUUUCAUAUGCAAUUCCGAUCAGUACAUGAAAACAGAGGAAAGUUUCAUCUGAUGGAUACCUGAAGAAAUGGUAAUGGAGCUUACCACAACCAAAAAUCAUUAAAGACGCCUAACUCCAUUCACUAUAAGUGCAGGUAAAGUAUAAAAAUUGACUUAUUGAGAGUGUUAUGGUUUCUUAAGCUCUGUUUUUGUAAUCUCUGCAGAGAAUCAGCUUGAAUAUGACUGAUAUGGAAGAUAGUGAUAUGGAAGAUCUCUGCAGAGGAGCUGUUGAAUGAUCUUGAGAUCAAGAAACAGAGCUCGUACAUGGGUGGGGCGUCUCAAAUAUUUUAGGUAAGUUCUGUAUCAUCUAUAAAUUAGUUACAAAGUUCAAGGAUUGACUUCAAAAUUUAUUCUCUUAACAGUUUUAAAUUACAAACAGGCUCCAAGGAAAGCCAAGGAAUUAUAUUGUGAGGAAGAUCGUGAGGAAUGAUAAGCCCAGCUAACCAAGAUGAAUCCAAUCUGACUCGUGCUAUUCGAUAAGUCAGGUUAGUUUUUUAGAACCAUUUAACGUUUGCUAGAAAAUCUAAGUGGUCUGGUUAGAUAAGAAGGGAAAUUUAGAAAGGAAUCCUAGAUAAUUGUUUUCAUUGGUUUAAUGUGGUAUAGUUUCAUCGGUUUAUUGUUUUGGCUGUGAGUUGAUUGUAUGUUGCAUAACUUGGUUUAAUUGUCUUUAUUUCU